AUUGAACGCUGGCGGCAUGCUUUACACAUGCAAGUCGAACGGUAACAGGCCUUCGGGUGCUGACGAGUGGCGAACGGGUGAGUAAUGCAUCGGAACGUGCCCAGGGGUGGGGGAUAACGCAGCGAAAGCUGUGCUAAUACCGCAUGUGAUCUGAGGAUGAAAGCGGGGGACCAGGCAGCAAUGUUUGGCCUCGCGCCUUUGGAGCGGCCGAUGUCAGAUUAGGUAGUUGGUGGGGUAAAGGCCUACCAAGCCGACGAUCUGUAGCUGGUCUGAGAGGACGACCAGCCACACUGGGACUGAGACACGGCCCAGACUCCUACGGGAGGCAGCAGUGGGGAAUUUUGGACGAUGGGCGCAAGCCUGAUCCAGCAAUGCCGCGUGCGGGAAGAAGGCCUUCGGGUUGUAAACCGCUUUUGUACGGAACGAAAAGGCUCUGGCUAAUACCUGGGGCUGAUGACGGUACCGUAAGAAUAAGCACCGGCUAACUACGUG
Molecule: ribosomal RNA, 492 nt
Filed under: uncultured bacterium
Lineage: Bacteria
Description: partial 16S ribosomal RNA
Rfam family: Bacterial small subunit ribosomal RNA
Source: RNAcentral